Sycon ciliatum is the source of this 1510-nucleotide long non-coding RNA. RefSeq lists it as uncharacterized. NCBI's taxonomy places the organism in Eukaryota, Metazoa, Porifera, Calcarea, Leucosolenida, Sycettidae. The record is from RefSeq and is a predicted model, not a curated record. The transcript is spliced from 6 exons.
GGAAUUAUUAUUUGAUGGCUUGCGAGUGACAGCACGAGCCGAAUUUAUUGCCCGUGGAAGUACCCACGAUAGGAAUACACUGUUGGGAACAUGGUGGCGGCGCUGACGGUACCUAUGUAAGUGGAAUUACUUUAUUGGAAGUACCCACGACGGGGAAAAUAGUCUCUCUAGUAUUGUCGGUGAAUGGUGAUGGUGGUGGUGGCGAUGGCUACUUUCCUCUGCUCAGAGAGAACCCCUGCAUGUCCUUCGUCGUGAUGCAAAAGAGCAGUGGAUGCAGAAAAUGUCUCUACCUGCCAGGAUGGUAUAAGAGCACGAACUGAAUCACCUGUUGGUGCAGAAGGCUUGGAGGACUGCUUUUGAAACAGUUGUUCAAAUUUCCUGCACCUCUUCGUAGCCGUUGUCUGAUUGCUGCAUUCUGGGGAGACUGAAGUUAAGAAGCCCUCACCGAAACCAACACUACGUCGCUGUGUUGUUUUCUUCCAAGGUCGGGCACAGUAAAGGAGAGGACUCUGUAUCAAGGCACUACCCAGAGGGAGGAUGUUGGCCUUCUCCUGAUGGGAAAAUGUCUUCUUUCUCAUGGCGUGGCCAGGACUGCACUGACCCUACCAUCCACUCUACCUCUCCGGAAAGGGACUUGACAACCAGUCAAGAUGGAUGUGCAGAGAUAUGCCAGCGCUUCUAGCAUUAACUGCCAAUUUGCACUGACGCAGCAAGACUCCCACCAGUCAAUAUUGUUUUACUUGAACAUCAUACUGUCGCCCAACUUUGUUUCACCAACAAAGGUUUAUUCUCCAAAGUAUUUCUAAUUGAUUGUGUAUGAGUUUCAUACUACUGUCAGGGGCGUCGGAAGGUAUUUUAGUGUAGUACGGUCAGCCAUCUGAAGUACAAUUGACUCGUGGGGGAGUGGUGGCUGAGCCGAAAAUUUUGGAAUUUUAGAUCCCAGAUCAGUGUAUUUUGUUGACUCACGGGUAUCUGGGGCAAAAAGUGGUACGGUCAAUACCGUAGUGACCGUACCGUGUGCGACGCCCCUGACUGUUGGAAUCCACCAGCUGUGUUUCCUUGAGGGGCGUAUCCUUACCUGGGAUGUGUUUUCUCAUUCCCGGCAGCAGAAAGAGCUCUACAAUAUGUAUAUAAUUUAAGAAUAGAAUUUGAUGUACAGGAGAGUGCCAAUUAUCCCCACCCCUCGGGACGCGGGCUGUCUCCAGAGGGUUCAGAUGAGAAGAAUGUUCGGAUAAGAGAGCAGUCACACAUCUAUCUAAAUCAUGCAUAUUCCAGCAUGUUUUCAUCAUUUUCGUUCUCUUCAGCAGUGAAACAGGAACUAGGUGCACUCAUGCUCCUCUAAAUUAAUGACACUAUUAUUACACAUUUUGACUCAAACCUGUUUUAAUACAUCUUGUGAAUCGCUUCAAUGGUGCCCCGAGCGACGAAAAUCAACAACUUGAAACUCAUCUUCUACCCCUCAAUUAAAUGCAAGCAAUUAUUUUGGAUAAUUAAUCAUUUGGAUAUUUGA